UACAGAGGUCUCAAGCGUUGUUCGGAUUCAUUGGGCGUAAAGGGUGUGUAGGUGGCGCGCUAAGUCGGGUGUGAAAUUUCGGAGCUUAACUCCGAAACUGCAUUCGAUACUGGCGUGCUUGAGGACUGGAGAGGAGACUGGAAUUUACGGUGUAGCAGUGAAAUGCGUAGAUAUCGUCAGGAACGCGGAUGGUGAAGACAGGUGACUGGGCUAGUUCUGACACUGAGGCACGAAAGCGUGGGAGCGAACGGG
This 252-nucleotide ribosomal RNA is filed under the name uncultured bacterium. Its description in RNAcentral is "partial 16S ribosomal RNA". It matches the Rfam family "Bacterial small subunit ribosomal RNA", at positions 524 to 776 of the family's 1533-position model. The record is from RNAcentral.